This 73-nucleotide transfer RNA is filed under the name Stegodyphus mimosarum. It matches the Rfam family "tRNA". From Rfam's summary of the family: Transfer RNA (tRNA) molecules are approximately 80 nucleotides in length. Their secondary structure includes four short double-helical elements and three loops (D, anti-codon, and T loops). Further hydrogen bonds mediate the characteristic L-shaped molecular structure. tRNAs have two regions of fundamental functional importance: the anti-codon, which is responsible for specific mRNA codon recognition, and the 3' end, to which the tRNAs corresponding amino acid is attached (by aminoacyl-tRNA synthetases). tRNAs cope with the degeneracy of the genetic code in two manners: having more than one tRNA (with a specific anti-codon) for a particular amino acid; and 'wobble' base-pairing, i.e. permitting non-standard base-pairing at the 3rd anti-codon position. The record is from Rfam by way of RNAcentral. Lineage: Eukaryota; Metazoa; Arthropoda; Arachnida; Araneae; Eresidae.
GCCUUCGUGGUGUAGUGGUCAGCACGCUCGACGCGUAUUCGAGAGGUCCGUGGUUCGAGUCCCGGUGAGGGCA